AGGAUGAACGCUGGCGGCGUGCUUAACACAUGCAAGUCACGGGGGCCCAGCAAUGGGCAACCGGCGAACGGGUGCGUAACACGUGAGCAACCUACCGAAUUGUGGGGGAUAGCCGGCCCAACGGCCGGGUAAUACCGCAUACGCUCGAGACGAGGCAUUUCGACUCGAGGAAACCUCCGGGGCAAUUUGAGGGGCUCGCGGCCUAUCAGCUAGUUGGUGAGGUAACGGCUCACCAAGGCGACGACGGGUAGC
RNAcentral lists this ribosomal RNA (252 nucleotides) under uncultured soil bacterium. RNAcentral's name for it is "partial 16S ribosomal RNA". It matches the Rfam family "Bacterial small subunit ribosomal RNA", at positions 26 to 287 of the family's 1533-position model. The record is from RNAcentral.